CCUACGGGUGGCUGCAGUCGAGAAUCUUCGGCAAUGGGCGCAAGCCUGACCGAGCGAUGCCGCGUGUGGGAUGAAGGCCUUCGGGUUGUAAACCACUGUCGAGGGGGAUUAAGGGAAACUUGAAUGAACCCUGGAGGAAGGACGGGCUAAGUUCGUGCCAGCAGCCGCGGUAAGACGAACCGUCCGAACGUUAUUCGGAAUCACUGGGCUUACAGAGUUCGUAGGCGGUCCGGCAAGUUGGGUGUGAAAUCCCUUGGCUCAACCAAGGAACUGCGCUUGAUACUGCCGGACUCGAGGGAGAUAGAGGAAAGCGGAACUGAUGGUGGAGCGGUGAAAUGCGUUGAUAUUAUCAGGAACACCGGUGGCGAAGGCGGCUUUCUGGGUCUCUUCUGACGCUGAGGAACGAAAGCUAGGGGAGCGAACGGGAUUAGAUACCCCAG
RNAcentral lists this ribosomal RNA (440 nucleotides) under uncultured bacterium. RNAcentral's name for it is "bacterial SSU rRNA". It matches the Rfam family "Bacterial small subunit ribosomal RNA", at positions 338 to 790 of the family's 1533-position model. The record is from RNAcentral.